This is a long non-coding RNA of Lagenorhynchus albirostris (white-beaked dolphin), 791 nucleotides long. RefSeq lists it as uncharacterized. NCBI's taxonomy places the organism in Eukaryota, Metazoa, Chordata, Mammalia, Artiodactyla, Delphinidae. The transcript has 3 exons. The record is from RefSeq and is a predicted model, not a curated record.
CCGGUCCCCAGGGCCACCCACACUGUCCCCCAGGGCAGCCCUUCUGCAAAGCCAGGAGAGAGAGGAAAACCUGCCCCACUCAGGUGGGCCGCGGCCCGGCCGGAUCCUGAUGCUUCUUGUUGAGAGCCGCCAGCCUGCCUCCCGGGCACAGGCAGACAGCAUGAAGAGGCCUCCUCACUCUGGACCGGUCAGAGAGGCAGACAGCAAAGCACUGUUUUGCCUUGGGGCGGGGUCAACACAGAGCUCCUGUCCGGGAAGCCGUGGUGUAGAGAAAGGAUGAUCUCCCGACCCCAUCCUGAGCGUUCUGAGUGGAAACCAGACCCCGUGGGUGCCCAGCCAGGAUCAGUUUGGCAGAAGUACCUGGAGUGUGAGAAACUAAUAAGAUCCAUUCAACUUGAAGGCUAAUUUUAUAUGACUGUGUCCAUUUUUCCCCCAAGAAAUUUCACACCUUGACACAAACGAGGAGAUUCUAAGAAAGAGAAAUUUAAUGUAAGUAGCAUUUCCAACCAUGGAGGGGUAUAUGGAAAUGGGCCUUUUUCUCUGUGACCAGUGGCCUCCUGCGAUACAUGAAAGGAAGACCGCUCCCCCAACAUGGUGUCCCUCCCACGACAAUAAAGCCCCAAGUUGGCUCAUCUCACAAGGACCUUGUACAUCUGAUGGCGUCUUUUGAAGGCAGGUCAGUGAGAAUGAUACCUGAGCUGCAACUUAGCUGGCAUUACCUGGCAUACAGUGAGUGCCCAAUAAAUGCUGGCUGGCUGGCUGGCUGGAUGGAUAGAUAAGUGAGUGAGUUA